This 640-nucleotide ribosomal RNA is filed under the name Methylobacterium platani. RNAcentral describes it as "bacterial SSU rRNA". It matches the Rfam family "Bacterial small subunit ribosomal RNA", at positions 42 to 724 of the family's 1533-position model. The record is from RNAcentral. Lineage: Bacteria; Pseudomonadati; Pseudomonadota; Alphaproteobacteria; Hyphomicrobiales; Methylobacteriaceae.
GCAGGCUUAACACAUGCAAGUCGAGCGGGCAUCCUUGUGGUGUCAGCGGCAGACGGGUGAGUAACGCGUGGGAACGUGCCCUUUGGUUCGGAAUAACUCAGGGAAACUUGAGCUAAUACCGGAUACGCCCUUAUGGGGAAAGGCUUGACUGCCGAAGGAUCGGCCCGCGUCUGAUUAGCUGGUUGGUGAGGUUAUGGCUCACCAAGGCGACGAUCAGUAGCUGGUCUGAGAGGAUGAUCAGCCACACUGGGACUGAGACACGGCCCAGACUCCUACGGGAGGCAGCAGUGGGGAAUAUUGGACAAUGGGGGCAACCCUGAUCCAGCCAUGCCGCGUGAGUGAUGACGGCCUUAGGGUUGUAAAGCUCUUUUCUCCGGGACGAUAAUGACGGUACCGGAGGAAUAAGCCCCGGCUAACUUCGUGCCAGCAGCCGCGGUAAUACGAAGGGGGCUAGCGUUGCUCGGAAUCACUGGGCGUAAAGGGCGCGUAGGCGGCUGAUUUAGUCGAGGGUGAAAGCCCGUGGCUCAACCACGGAAUGGCCUUCGAUACUGGUUGGCUUGAGACCGGAAGAGGACAGCGGAACUGCGAGUGUAGAGGUGAAAUUCGUAGAUAUUCGCAAGAACACCAGUGGCGAAGGCGG